Long non-coding RNA from Spinacia oleracea (spinach), 459 nucleotides. RefSeq lists it as uncharacterized. Lineage: Eukaryota; Viridiplantae; Streptophyta; Magnoliopsida; Caryophyllales; Amaranthaceae. The transcript has 3 exons. The record is from RefSeq and is a predicted model, not a curated record.
CGUUCACUCUCAACUCCAUCGCCCUUUCUCUCUCAAUCCUUUCGAAUCUGCUCUUCAAUGGCUUCCGCCUACUCAGAAAUUCAACACAACGUGACUCAAGCUCGGUCGAUUUUUCCUUUCCAGGGUACUCCGGCUGCGAAUCCAGAAAGUAGAAGUUUCCAAAACAAUAAUGAAUUGCAAAUCUGGAAUUGAAUCCUGCUGUUGCUCCAAUUGAAUUUUAGUGCGCUCCAAUUAGGGUUCUAUAAAUUUGGGUGAAAUUCCUGGGUUUGAUCGAUCUUCUUCAAUUAUCGGGAUUUUAGUUAAUUUUUAGUUUGCUGAGGUUUCUGCAAUUUGUUUUUGAGAAAAUGGGAAAGCGUGGAAAUAAUCAGAAGAAAGCUCCUCGAAAUUUGAAGAAAAUGAAGCUGAAUAAUGAAGAUGUGAAAAAAUUCAAUAGUAUGGAGGAUGAAAUUGAUGUCUGUA